This 1421-nucleotide non-coding RNA is filed under the name Cryptosporidium parvum. Lineage: Eukaryota; Apicomplexa; Conoidasida; Eucoccidiorida; Cryptosporidiidae. The record is from RNAcentral.
AAAAAAUUAGUUAAUAAUUGAUAUAGUAAUGAACAUAUGAAAAAUAUGAGUUGAUAAAGAAAAACGAACGAUUAGUUGGUGCCAGUAAUUCCGUGGCCACGAGUGGAAGAAGCUGUAGAUAACGGCUGCUCAAGUUCUGGAUUGUGUGUAGGACAGCACUUAAAGAGCUCCAUCAUUGCUGAUUGGACCUUAAGCUUAAGUUCUUCAAUAUCCAUGUCUUUAGUAACUUGAAUUGGAUCACCAUAAGCAACGUAAGCAGUUCCCAAAUCAAGAAGAGGUUCUCCUAAGGGCCAGAGAGACCAAUUAUUAUGGGAAACAACUGGAAGAAUUUCAGACUCAUGCUCAAUUGCAAAUUUAAAGAAGCCAUUUUUGAAUGGCUGUAAUCUUCUAAGUUUAGACCUAGUUCCUUCUGGAUAAAUUACUUGACCAAUACCCAACUUUUGAAGUUCUGCGCAUCUAUUAAACAUGGGUUCAAUUGUACCACUCUUGAUUCCCCAUCCGCCUUUCUCCUUUGUGAAGUAAAUUGGAAGAUCAUAAGUUAAUGAUAUAGCACAAUUUACAAUGGGUACUUUAAGUAAGUCAGCUUUGUAUACAUAUUUAAAUUCCCAAGGAAAAUGAGUUGAAGAAAUUAUCCAAGGAUCAGCUGUUGAUAAAUGGUUAGUCAUUAUAAGAGUGUUACUCGGCUUAUAGUUUCUUUUCGGCUCCCUAGUUAUUUUAACUGUCCAAAAAGGAUUUGUCCAAAUUACUAGAAGAGCAUUCCAGAAUCUAAAAGCUUGUCCCAUAAUUAUUAUCUUGAAUUUUUCAUUAUAAAGAAGGUAAGGGAACAGAAAUAUCCAAAGUAAAAUUUGAGUAAUUAAUCCCAAAAUAAUUGAAAUACAAAUCAUUGAAUAAGUGUAAACUGUUACAAUAAAUCUUAACCAUUUUGGGUUUGAAGACUUUCUAAUCGAAGUCAUUGUUUGCUCCUCUGCCAUUCUUUUAAAAUUUCUCAAGUAAUAUCAGCAAGCUCCUGUUAGAAUCAAUGAUUUUCUUCAAAUAAUUUCCACUGAUGAAUUAAAAAGAAAAAAGGUUAAUUCCAAAUAUUCUUUUAAACAACUACAGCUUUAUUAUUGUUAUUAUUGCUACUAUUAUUUUCCCUCUUUUAAGGUUGUAAAUUCUUAAUGGAAAAAUAGUACCUAUUUGGAGACUUGCCCGCCAAUUACGUGGGGUAUAAAUGUAAAUAUAAAUUUUACAUGAUAAUUGAAAGAAAAAAAAAUUGAAAAAAAAAAUAUAUAUAAUAAUAUAUUGAGAUACAAAAUUUUAUCAACCAAGUUUUGAUUAUUAUUUUAAGCUGGAGAUCUCAUUUUAUUCUUGACUUUUUACAACAAAUUAUCAUUUAAUGUAAUCAAGAAAAAGAUAUUAAGUUCAAGUAACGUUAAGGGAAC